RNAcentral lists this non-coding RNA (30 nucleotides) under Mus musculus (house mouse). Lineage: Eukaryota; Metazoa; Chordata; Mammalia; Rodentia; Muridae. The record is from RNAcentral.
UCCAAAGAAAUAAUUAAGGCUUUCACGCGC